AUUCAGCUGACGAGUCCCAAGUAGGACGAAACGCGCAUUCUAGAAU
Non-coding RNA from Trichobilharzia regenti, 46 nucleotides. The record is from Rfam. Lineage: Eukaryota; Metazoa; Platyhelminthes; Trematoda; Strigeidida; Schistosomatidae.